This is a long non-coding RNA of Salarias fasciatus (jewelled blenny), 222 nucleotides long. RefSeq lists it as uncharacterized. Lineage: Eukaryota; Metazoa; Chordata; Actinopteri; Blenniiformes; Blenniidae. The record is from RefSeq and is a predicted model, not a curated record. The transcript has 3 exons.
UCCGGUUCCCUCCUAUUGUUAUGGAUUUACCUGGAAAUCCAAGGCAGCAAAGAGCCAAGAGCACAGUAUAGAUCACCGCUCUGAGACUGCUCUCUUUGUGUCAAGGUGAUGCACGAGCGAUCGGCACCUCAGGAACAGUCAUCCGAUACCUCCUUAACCUUCCCCCUCUCGCAGCUUCACAGAUAAAGAGAUGUGGAACGGGAGAAUUCACCAUGAACUCAA